Molecule: long non-coding RNA, 275 nt
Filed under: Nicotiana benthamiana
Lineage: Eukaryota; Viridiplantae; Streptophyta; Magnoliopsida; Solanales; Solanaceae
Description: long non-coding RNA (NBEN_LNC003722)
Source: RNAcentral
GCUGAUCUAACGACUCUCCGGCCCCAUUUCGGUGCACGAUUGGAAAGUACUUUGGGCCUGCCGCUUUCUCAAUCGAAAAUGGAAAGGAAAGAGUUUUCAUUAACUAAGAUAUUUCUUGGAAGUCAACUCAUUCCUUUAUCAAUGAGCCCGGAGUCGCUUAGCAACAAUUCUUUGUGAAAGGAGCCCGCUUACCCACUCCCCUUUCCCCCCAUUGCUAGGAGCCUCGCCCUCUUGACUUGAUAUGUCAAGAAGACUACAACCGAUAGUGGAUNNNN